This 212-nucleotide unclassified non-coding RNA is filed under the name Hevea brasiliensis (rubber tree). Lineage: Eukaryota; Viridiplantae; Streptophyta; Magnoliopsida; Malpighiales; Euphorbiaceae. The record is from RNAcentral.
GAUGUGCCCGGUAGACUGAUGACAGAGGCAUCGGAGAUGGUUGCAUAAACAUGCAUAAAAAGAAGUCGGUGCUGCAGUGCUGUCCAGUGGCCAUACACCACAAAAAGAAUAGCUCGAUGGCGUUUACAACGCCAAGGCUGUCGCCACGGCCCAUGAUGGUGUGGGCAGCGAAUCGAUGUAUAUAACGCAGGGCUGGACUAGUGAUGCCCAUG